RNAcentral lists this ribosomal RNA (440 nucleotides) under uncultured bacterium. RNAcentral describes it as "partial 16S ribosomal RNA". It matches the Rfam family "Bacterial small subunit ribosomal RNA", at positions 338 to 795 of the family's 1533-position model. The record is from RNAcentral.
CCUACGGGAGGCAGCAGUAGGGAAUAUUGCUCAAUGGGGGAAACCCUGAAGCAGAACCGCCGCGGGGAGGAUGAAGGUUUUCGGAUUGUAAACUCCUUUUGUUAGAGAAAAUAAUGACGGUAUCUAACGAAUAAGCACCGCCUAACUCCGUGCCAGCAGCGGCGGUAAUACGGAGGGUGCAAGCGUUACUCGGAAUAACUGGCCGUAAAAAGCGCUAAGGCGGGAUAGCAAGUCAGAUGUGAAAUCCUAUGGCUUAACCAUAGAACUGCAUUUGAAACGGUUAUUCUAGAGUAUGGGAGAGGUAGGUGGAAUUCUUGGUGUAGGGGUAAAAUCCGUAGAGAUCAAGAGGAAUACUCAUUGCGAAGGCGACCUGCUAGAACAUAACUGACGCUGAUGCGCGAAAGCGUGGGGAGCAAACAGGAUUAGAUACCCUUGUAGUC